GCUCUCUGAAGACCUAGUGGCGAACGGGUGAGUAACACGUGAGAAACCUGCCUCGGAGUGGGGAAUAACUCGGGGAAACUCGAGCUAAUACCGCAUACCUUCAGAUGGUCGCAUGGCCGACUGAAGAAAGAAUUUCGCUCUGGGAGGGUCUCGCGGCCUAUCAGCUAGUUGGUGGGGUAACGGCCUACCAAGGCAGCGACGGGUAGCUGGAUUGAGAGAUCGAUCAGCCACACUGGGACUGAGACACGGCCCAGACUCCUACGGGAGGCAGCAGUGGGGAAUCUUGCGCAAUGGGCGAAAGCCUGACGCAGCAACGCCGCGUGCGGGAUGACGGCCUUCGUGGUUGUAAACCGCUUUCAGCAGGGACGAAAAUGACGGUACCUGCAGAAGAAGCUCCGGCUAACUACGUGCCAGCAGCCGCGGUAAUACGUAGGGGGCAAGCGUUGUCCGGAAUCAUUGGGCGUAAAGAGCUCGUAGGCGGUUCAGUAAGUCGGGUGUGAAAGCUCCGAGCUCAACUCGGAGAGGCCACUCGAUACUGCUGUGACUAGAAUCCAGUAGGGGAGUGUGGAAUUCCUGGUGUAGCGGUGAAAUGCGCAGAUAUCAGGAGGAACACCAGCGGCGAAGGCGGCACUCUGGGCUGGUAUUGACGC
RNAcentral lists this ribosomal RNA (650 nucleotides) under uncultured marine bacterium. RNAcentral describes it as "bacterial SSU rRNA". It matches the Rfam family "Bacterial small subunit ribosomal RNA", at positions 78 to 746 of the family's 1533-position model. The record is from RNAcentral.